GCCGGUGUAGCUCCAAUUGGUAGAGCUGGGGUUUUGUAAGCCCUUGGUUGCAGGUUCGAGUCCUGUCGCCGGCU
This 74-nucleotide transfer RNA is filed under the name Myxococcales bacterium. Its description in RNAcentral is "tRNA-Thr". It matches the Rfam family "tRNA". From Rfam's summary of the family: Transfer RNA (tRNA) molecules are approximately 80 nucleotides in length. Their secondary structure includes four short double-helical elements and three loops (D, anti-codon, and T loops). The record is from RNAcentral. Lineage: Bacteria; Pseudomonadati; Myxococcota; Myxococcia; Myxococcales.